CGUGCAUGUGUGUUAGGUGGGGGUCUGUAUGCCUCUCGCUCUCUCUCUGUCUCUCCACGCCCCCAAUCUUUCAUCCCAGUGCACCCAUAGGUUAGAUGCAAAGGUAACAGAAAGACCGGGGGCUCUAUAAAGACCCGCUUUGUUCAUUCGAUCUCUCUGCUGCUUUUUUUUAUUUCUUCGGUCUUUCUUGUUACCAUCACCAUACAUCAAAAUGCCCAGCAAGAGGAAGAAGAACAGGCGUCGCAUGAGGAGGGUGCAGGCCCAGAGGAGAAUCCUUGAAGAGCAACAUGCGGCCAACCCAACAGUCAAAGCGGGUCCCGGGAUUGCAGUCUGUGCGCCCCCUGCAGCGAUCCCAAAGAAAGCGGCUAAAGCUCAUGCACCCGCUCCAGCUCCAGUUAAGAUCCCCAUGGUCGUUCCCAUUGCAGUCCCAAUUGUUGAGAUCCCCAUAAAAGAACCAGAACCAGUUGUCGAAGAACCUGUCGCCAAGCCCGUCCCAGUCGAGGUAGUGGCACCAGAGCCUGAGGCUGUGGUGUUGGAACUGGCACCAGUAGAAGUUGAGGUUGAAGUCCCAGUCGAGGUAGUGGCACCAGAGCCUGAGGCUGUGGUGUUGGAACAGGCACCAGUAGAAGUUGAGGUUGAAGUCCCAGUCGAGGUAGCGGCACCAGAGCCUGAGGCUGUGGUGUUGGAACAGGCACCAGUAGAAGUUGAGGUUGAAGUCCCAGUCGAGGUAGUGGCACCAGAGCCUGAGGCUGUGGUGUUGGAACAGGCACCAGUAGAAGUUGAGGUUGAAGUACCAGCCCCGGUCCCUGAAGAAGCACCAGUCAUUGAGACUCCACCAGAGGAGCCCGCUAUAGUUGAGGCUGCAGUUGUACAAGAGGCUGAACCUAUCAUUCCUGAAACAGAACCAGUAACAGAGGUCAUACCUCCAGCUGAGGCUCCAGUAGAAGCCCUCGUUGAGACUGAGAUUCAGACAGAGGAGACUACAACCGUAACAACAGAGACUGAACUGACGCAUGAUGUCUGCGAGCCAGAGACUGAAGUGAAGGCUGAGGCCUGGGUCGCGGCCGUUGCAGACGAUGUCGCCAUACCAGAGCCCGUAACUGAAACAGCUGAAGAGGAGGCGGUUACAGAAACAGUGGUGGUGGAGGAUGUUUUCGCAGAGAUACCUGAGCCAGAACUGACUGAAGCUGAGGUUGAGGAGGAUGAAGCUGAAAUAGAAGUGUUGGCUGAAGAAGAUGCACCUGAAGUCCCUGCUGAGCCUUUUGCAACCACAGAGGAUGUUCCUGCCCAAUCUGUGGAAAUCCCAGAGGUGCCAGCCACCGUCCCUGAGGUAGAAGAGGCUGUAACUGAAGUCAAAGAGGACACUGCUGACAGCCUGGUUGAUGACUUUGUUGUCACAGAAUCUGUCUCAGACGUGGAGGUCGCCAUUGCUGAGUCUGCUGCUGUCCAGCCGGAAAUUGUGGAAGUGAGUGACACCCCUUCAGAAUCUGUGGAUGCGACGCCCGUUGCUGCACCUGCAGAGGAAAUGGUCAUUGACGCCACUGCUGAGCAGACAUGCUUGGAUAUUCUGUCAGAGCUGAAGCCAGAAAUGUGUGACAUGCCCUGUCAGAUGCAGCGUGCUGUGGAGUCUGUGCAGCUCAACUCAAUGGAGAUGUCAGUGGAGGCAAAGCUGAAUGGACACAUUGUUCCAGAGCUCGCCAUUGAGGGCUAGAUCCACUUCACACAGCUUGGAAGACCUUCUUUGUCUUU
This 1749-nucleotide long non-coding RNA is filed under the name Cottoperca gobio. RNAcentral describes it as "lncRNA (ENSCGOG00000005122.1)". Lineage: Eukaryota; Metazoa; Chordata; Actinopteri; Perciformes; Bovichtidae. The record is from RNAcentral.